This 335-nucleotide unclassified non-coding RNA is filed under the name soil metagenome. RNAcentral's name for it is "partial contains 5.8S ribosomal RNA, internal transcribed spacer 2, and large subunit ribosomal RNA". The stretch from base 1 to 120 matches the Rfam family "5.8S ribosomal RNA", at positions 35 to 154 of the family's 154-position model. The record is from RNAcentral.
GAUGAAGAACGUAGCGAAAUGCGAUAAGUAAUGUGAAUUGCAGAAUUCAGUGAAUCAUCGAAUCUUUGAACGCACAUUGCGCCCGCCAGUAUUCUGGCGGGCAUGCCUGUUCGAGCGUCAUUUCAACCAUCAAGCCCCCGGCUUGUGUUGGGGACCUGCGGCUGCCGCAGGCCCUGAAAACCAGUGGCGGGCUCGCUAGUCACUCCGAGCGUAGUAAUACAUCUCGCUCAGGGCGUGCUGCGGGUUCCGGCCGUUAAAAAGCCUUAUUUACCCAAGGUUGACCUCGCAUCAGGUAGGAAGACCCGCUGAACUUAAGCAUAUCAAUAAGCGGAGGA